UACGUAGGUGGCAAGCGUUGUCCGGAAUUAUUGGGCGUAAAGAGCUCGUAGGCGGUUUGUCACGUCUGCUGUGAAAACCCGAGGCUCAACCUCGGGCCUGCAGUGGGUACGGGCAGACUAGAGUGUGGUAGGGGAGACUGGAAUUCCUGGUGUAGCGGUGGAAUGCGCAGAUAUCAGGAGGAACACCAAUGGCGAAGGCAGGUCUCUGGGCCACUACUGACGCUGAGGAGCGAAAGCAUGGGGAGCAAACAGG
This 253-nucleotide unclassified non-coding RNA is filed under the name uncultured Demequinaceae bacterium. Its description in RNAcentral is "contains 16S-23S intergenic spacer region". It matches the Rfam family "Bacterial small subunit ribosomal RNA", at positions 524 to 776 of the family's 1533-position model. The record is from RNAcentral. Lineage: Bacteria; Bacillati; Actinomycetota; Actinomycetes; Micrococcales; Demequinaceae.